AUGUCCAUGCUCUCUCUGAACAUGUUUCCUCCUUGGGAAGAAGAGAACCACUGUCCGUGUUCCCUGAGGAACUUGUCUUCUUGCAGUGCCCAUCGAAACUGCUCAAGUUCUCAGAUGUCCUUCGAGGAAGGUCUGGAAAGUUCUGUCAGCGUUAGCGAAAAAAUAGCGGGGAGCCUGGUGGGCUGCAGUCCAUGGGGUCACAAAAGAGUCGGACAUGAUUUAGUGAGUACACAAUAACAACAACUACACAUUGUUUGCUCACUCUGUGCCGUAUGCUAUUAGGAGGAGCUUC
This 292-nucleotide long non-coding RNA is filed under the name Bos indicus x Bos taurus (hybrid cattle). RNAcentral describes it as "lncRNA (ENSBIXG00000018933.1)". Lineage: Eukaryota; Metazoa; Chordata; Mammalia; Artiodactyla; Bovidae. The record is from RNAcentral.